GUGAACCCCGGGCCAGCAGCAGGGGUAUGACGUUGGUCGCAAGGUUUAUCCGGAAGUAAUGGGCGUAAAGGGCAUCUAGGCGGUCAAUCAAGUCGAAGGUGAAAACUUGUGGCUCAACCAUAAGCGUGCCUACGAAACUGAUUAACUAGAGUACUGGAGAGGUGGACGGAACUAAACGAGUAGAGGUGAAAUUCGUAGAUAUGUGUAGGAAUGCCGAUGAUGAAGAUAGUUCACUGGACAGAAACUGACGCUGAAGUGCGAAAGCUAGGGGAGCAAACAGGAUUAGAUACCCCUGUAGUC
RNAcentral lists this ribosomal RNA (300 nucleotides) under uncultured Methanosarcina sp. Its description in RNAcentral is "bacterial SSU rRNA". It matches the Rfam family "Bacterial small subunit ribosomal RNA", at positions 496 to 795 of the family's 1533-position model. Lineage: Archaea; Methanobacteriati; Methanobacteriota; Methanomicrobia; Methanosarcinales; Methanosarcinaceae. The record is from RNAcentral.